CAGUAGCCACGGUAAUACAGAGGGUGCGAGCGUUAAUCGGAUUUACUGGGCGUAAAGCGUGCGUAGGCGGCUUCUUAAGUCGGAUGUGAAAUCCCCGGGCUUAACCUGGGAACUGCAUUUGAAACUGUCAGGCUGGAGUCUUGUAGAGGGGGGUAGAAUUCCAGGUGUAGCGGUGAAAUGCGUAGAGAUCUGGAGGAAUACCGGUGGCGAAGGCGGCCCCCUGGACAAAGACUGACGCUCAGGUGCGAAAGCGUGGGGAGCAAACAGGAUUAGAUACCCGUGUAGUCCCUGUCUCUUAUAC
RNAcentral lists this ribosomal RNA (301 nucleotides) under uncultured bacterium. RNAcentral's name for it is "partial 16S ribosomal RNA". It matches the Rfam family "Bacterial small subunit ribosomal RNA", at positions 509 to 807 of the family's 1533-position model. The record is from RNAcentral.